UCUCUUGGUGUGGUCCACCUGAGAUUUAGGUCUAACUCAUUUUUUGCAUAAAGCCCUAAAAUGAUCUUGUGAAAUGGAUGGACCGCGUGGAUAAAACACAUACAUCAUGGUGGAGCCCACGGAGCACCGACCACUAGCCACCUAGCUAGUGGCAGCAUCAAUAGCCCUAAAAAUAUCUUGCUCUCCCUCUCCCUUUCUGUGCCAUCAAGAAACCCUAACCCUAAUCUUCCAUCGAGUGAGUGAGACAAAGGCUUGAUUUCUUGAGUGAGCGAUUUUCACAUAGGUAGAUUGGGCGAGUUGAUUGGCGAUUUCAUGCAUGUAGUAUUGCUCUCUCAGUAUUUUAGGGUCCUUUCGUUAUUUUCAUCAGGAUUUUCAGUAAUAGAGGUAAAACCGUUGGUAGGGUUGGUUUUGGCAAGAAAUCUGAUUUUUGUGAGAGCAAGAGAAGUUGGGAGUGGACUGCAUCUCUCGAUGGGCAUGAAAAGCUCGUCAUGCAAAUGGACACUCCAAGAUUGAUGGAUUUGAUCUCGUUGCAUGGAAUUGCAUGAUCUCUAGAUACGUCCAAUGGUCCUGUUUGACGAAAUGCCUUACAGAAACAAUCUCUUUAGAAAAAGCCUGUUUGCGAGAUGUGGAGGGAAAGUAUUCAGUCAAAUGGUUUUUUUUUCCUGUGUGAACUGGCUUCAAGGUGUUUAUUGUGUGACAUGCAGUAAUUCUUUUGGCAUCUGACUAAAAGUCAUUUUGUUUUCCCCUUGAAACAGGUUCUUUAUUUGGGCAGAAGCCUGGCUUUGGAGGCUUUUGAUCAACUCCCAACUCAAACAAGUCCUUUUGGUAGUACAUUUCAACAAACACAGUCAGCAUUUGGAAGAUUUAUUUCCUUCUCAAGGGUUUUCUUUGGUCUUUGUGUGGUCACAACAAGGGAUACAGAUUGUUGUGUCUUUCAGAUUCAAGAUCCGGCGGAUGAUACCCAGAAAUGGAAAGUCCGACAGUGACAUUCCUGUCAAAUCUCAGAUGCUCCUCUUGGAAGCAAGGGAAGAUUCUUCACUUAAUAACAAAACCAAAGGAAUAGCCGUUCCAAAAUUGCUAUUUUGGUGUAGUGACUAGGGAUUGAAAAUCUAUUUUUUGUCACAAUUAGGCUUUUGGGAGGUGCUUUUGGUCUAAAGAUCCCUAAGCUUUUUUUUUUACUCAAUUAUGUUAUCUUAGUGAGCUAAGUGACUUGAUAUUGUAGAGUGGAACCGAAUGAUCACCAUUACUAAGAGAACUGUUUGAGCAGAUCUUAUGUACAUGACUAUAUCUCAUGGUUGUUUUUCUUUCAUGGAAGUAUCACCCAAACGAAGAUUAGUGUUUCGUUCUUCAACUGAGACCCUUUUAUGUAGCCAAGCUAGCUCAAUUGAUUAUUGUACUGCCUCACUUUUUUGUAUACGGCAUGUUUUGGCAUGUUUGCAGUGCACACUACCUAAUGAAUGGCUCAGCUAGCUGACAUACAUGUUACCCAACGUUGGGAACCAGCCCAGGCAUGGUAGUUGUGAUGGGCCCCACAUUCUAUUAAAACACAAAUCUUCUCUCUAGAGGGCUUUCGUGACAUUGAUGAUUGAUUGGUCUAAUUUGAUGUUGAUAUUUUACAUCAAAUUAAACUGAUUAAUCAUGAUAUUUGGAGCAACCAAAAUAACAAAUUAACUAUCUUCUCAAGAAGCAUCGAUCUUAAUUUAUGGAAAGGCCCCCUUGAUCAAAUUUCUGUUGAAGAUAUAUGGUUGUGGGUGUUCAUGAAUUCUAAUGCUUUUAUAUCAUCAGGAAAUCUCAGAUGAUUUCCAUGGUAGCAAUGUUCUGUACAUCCCUGGAGUGAUGACUCAGACAGAAGUUUUGAAUGCAUCUAAUGCUGGUGCAAGAAUAGUCAAGCGAUCCAGAUUGUUCGUCCAUGGCGGGUGUGAGAUACCAUGAAGUUCUCCCCCAUCUGAUGAUCCUAAUUGUUCAACUUGGCUUCCAUUAAAUUUGGACCAUUUGUCGUGAUGGAUAGGAUCAUCAGAUAAGGGAGAUAUUGGGGCCGUGCCUUCCCAUGAUGAGGCCCACCAUAUCAAUGGCUUAUAUUGGUGAAAUGUGCAGUCCACCUUACUGUUGUCGGGUCGAACAGAAUAGGUCAGUUCUUUUGAUAAAGCAUCAUAAAAGAUCUCUUGUUUUUUAUUUGUAAAAUGGAUAUAUUGUAUAGACUAUGUAAUAACAGCAGAGCAUGCAUGUUGCCUUCUGAUUUCAUGCACACAAUCCGUUCGCAUGAUGGAUGGUUUUUCCCCAUGCAUGACUUUUGCUUGAUGAACAAGUCACGGUAAGCUAAUCAUGCCUUCUGAUCAUCUGCUUGGCCUGAUUUUUCUGCUGUGGCGAGUAUAUCGUGUGAACUGCUAGAAGUGUAGUCUGGAUUUUGUAUCUGUCUGCCAUGUGCUGCAGUGGAAACUCAUGAGCAGAAGUGUGUGCAAUUAGUAUUUUGCUUUAACCCAAUGCAGAGUUUGGAAUUGUAUGAGUUGUUUGACAGUACGAAUCUCAUUAGUGGUAGUUCAGGUAUGUUGUGCAUUGUGACAACAAACUUUCAAUUAAUUUAGGAGAGAAUUGGAGCUUUCGGCCUCUUCUAUUGUGUUUAGGUCCUUUAGGGCAUGUUCUGCACACCUUCAAAAAGGGAUUUUGAGACCCAAUGCCAUUUUUGAGAUGUGUGUUUGGAUGCCCUUAACUCCCAUUUGAUUGCUCCUCUUGACAAAACAGGUGCUAAAAAGACCACUUGCCAAAAACCAACCAGAUUGGUUUUGGCGAAUCAUGCUACAGGCCUGCUUUUGCGGAAACUCCCUUUAGCGGAAGUUGUGUCCAAACCAGACCUAAAAAUAAAAUAAAAUAAAACAUCAAAGCUUAACUUGAUUGCUUAUUUCUUACUCCCUCUGCUUAUUUCUUACCCCCUCUUUUCCUCUCUUUUCAAUUGCGAAAACAGCAUGCUAUUAAUGCAUAUCAUUGUAAUUUUUAUUUUUUUUUGAAAUGCCUCUUUGUAAGCUUCAGUUCUUCAUAGGUCUUCUCCUUCUCCUAUAUGCUACACUAACUUUGAUGAAGGUGGUAAUAGUAACUCUAGUUUACUCUGUCAUUGAUGUUGAAAGUAUUUUUUCAUAGUUUAACAAAAUCUCCACUGAUUUUUUAUUUUCUUUUCCAAAAUUUCUUUCUGCCAGGUUUAUCCAAUCUCAUCAUUAGGCGGUGCUCAAUAUAUUUCGGCACUCAAGAGAACAUUUUCUCAUAUUCCAAUGGUUGCUUCCCAAGGCAUAACAAUAGGUUGAUUGUUUGAAUUGUAGAGUCUCAUUCCAAUGGUUGCUUCCCAAGGCAUAACAAUGCAGAUUCAAACUUUGGUUUAUAUGAUAGUUUGAAUGUAAUCAUUAUCUUCACCAAGAAAUUUAGAAUUAGCUUAAGGUUUGAAAGAUUUACCUCAUAUGAUUUGUGAGAUUUGGGAUAUAUUGUUUGUUAGCAUAGAUUUAAUUGUUGUAUCAACGUUCUUCCUAAGAUUGCUUUUAGAUGGAGUUGUCAUGAUCCGACAUGGCCAGAUGACAACCUGGGAUUGGGUAUCAUAUAUACAAUCAAUUUUUAAUGGAAAUGCAGAUUUUAUAUGUUUGGGA
Magnolia sinica is the source of this 3626-nucleotide long non-coding RNA. RefSeq lists it as uncharacterized. The transcript has 4 exons. The record is from RefSeq and is a predicted model, not a curated record. NCBI's taxonomy places the organism in Eukaryota, Viridiplantae, Streptophyta, Magnoliopsida, Magnoliales, Magnoliaceae.